UGCUAUUCUUGACUUGCCAUAACAAAAAAUAGAAGGUCCAUAAGAUUUUUUUUUUUCGCAGAAUCAGCGAGAUUGAUGUCGCCGCCACGUCGUCCUUCCUAUGCUGCACGUGAAGGUUCCCUCUCCUAGCAAUUAUCUCCACCGCCGGCCAUCUCCCCAAGCAGCCACGUACCUGAUUGGAUCAAAGGCAUCACGCAGCAGCAGGAGCCGUCGGGGCAGAGGCCGGCCUUGCGCGCGUGAACUGAUGAGAUGACUCACGCAGCAGCCGUCGGGGAGGAGGCCGGCCUUGCGCCGUGAAUUGAUGAGAUGGUUCACGCAACAGCCGUCGAGGAGGAGGCUGGCCCUGCGCGCGUGAACCAGAUGGCUGUGUGCGGAUCCGAUCUUGCGGGAGGAAGACGACGAAGUUUCCUUGGGCGCGCGGGAAGGAGCCGCUACGGCAUGCGAUACUACGAUGCGCGGUCGAUAUGCGCGUGCGGAGGGGAAGAGUGGCAACUUGCUAAAAUUACCAAGUUGAUUUACCAAUCUGUUGGAGACUACAAUUUUUUAUUUUGCCAAAUUUUUAAGAAUAACAAUCUUAUUUGAUAAACUCUUGGAGAUGCUCUCUUCUGGGCUGCUGCUAUAUAUGCUCCAGCUUGGCCCAGCUUUAUACAAGAAGAACUGAGCAAGAGCAGACCCAAUCGGCCCAUCUGAUCUGGCCAGCCCAAGCUCGUUUCGAUCGGCCCGCUGUUCAUGGCCGCCUGGCCGGGCGCGCUGCGCGCGCGACGCCACACUUUGCAGAGUGGAAUUGCAAUCACAGUAGUAAA
RNAcentral lists this long non-coding RNA (803 nucleotides) under Sorghum bicolor (sorghum). RNAcentral describes it as "long non-coding RNA (SBIC_LNC011319)". The record is from RNAcentral. Lineage: Eukaryota; Viridiplantae; Streptophyta; Magnoliopsida; Poales; Poaceae.